UAAAGCUUCCAACUGGGAUUAGAUACCCCACUAUUCUUGGCUAUAAAAUCAAAAAAAUUUACCGGAGUACUACGAACUUAAUAAAAUUUAAAACUCAAAGGGCUUGGCGGUGUUUUAGACCUCUCAGGGGAACCUGUCUCGUAAUCGACAAUCCACGAUAGACCUAACCCUGUUUUGCACUCAGUUUGUAUACCGUUGUCGUCAGGUAACUUUCAAAAAAAUAAGAAGUUAGCGAUUAAAAUGAACUAUAAAUUAAGACGUCAAAUCAAGGUGCAGCUCACAACAGGGGGAGGAUGGGUUACAAUUAUAAAUUCAUAAAAACGGAAAAUGCAUUGAAUAAUGUACUUGAAGGAGGACUUGAAAGUAAAAUAAAAAUACAUAAACGGUUUGAAUAAGGCUCUGAAACGUGCACACACCGCCCGUCACCCUCUGCAGUCAAAA
RNAcentral lists this ribosomal RNA (441 nucleotides) under Babylonia areolata. Its description in RNAcentral is "partial 12S ribosomal RNA". It matches the Rfam family "Microsporidia small subunit ribosomal RNA", at positions 644 to 1217 of the family's 1311-position model. The record is from RNAcentral. Lineage: Eukaryota; Metazoa; Mollusca; Gastropoda; Neogastropoda; Buccinidae.